GGACACUGAAAUGGGGUCUGUCCCAGAAGC
RNAcentral lists this non-coding RNA (30 nucleotides) under Mus musculus (house mouse). Lineage: Eukaryota; Metazoa; Chordata; Mammalia; Rodentia; Muridae. The record is from RNAcentral.